This 75-nucleotide transfer RNA is filed under the name Listeria monocytogenes. RNAcentral describes it as "transfer RNA-Gly (GCC)". RNAcentral also lists the same sequence under 1 other name. The record is from RNAcentral. Lineage: Bacteria; Bacillati; Bacillota; Bacilli; Caryophanales; Listeriaceae.
UGGAGCGGAAGACGGGGUUCGAACCCGCGACCCCCACCUUGGCAAGGUGAUGUUCUACCACUGAACUACUUCCGC